Molecule: non-coding RNA, 1348 nt
Organism: Heterocephalus glaber (naked mole-rat)
Lineage: Eukaryota; Metazoa; Chordata; Mammalia; Rodentia; Bathyergidae
Source: RefSeq, a predicted model, not a curated record
ACGAGCCUGCCGGCUAGGCGACCAGUCCGGAACCGGCCAGCCGCCUCAGUCAGUCAGCCAGCGUCGCGGCGGGGGCGACGCUGGGUCCUGCUCGGACCAUUUUAACUGCGGCUCCGCAGCCGUCGCCGGCGCGCGCGCCCGAGACACAGCUCAGAGCCGCAGGAGCGCGCGGCCCGUUCCGGAGGGGGCGGAGCUGGUCGCGGCGGCGCGCUCGGGGCGUGGACGCGGGCGCUCAGCUGCUCCCCUGAGGCCGAGGCCAGACUGGCCCUGCUGGCUGGGAGGUGGCCGGCGAGGGUGCGGAGCUCUCGGGGUGUAGCGCACGCCCCUCCCUCUCGUUGCCCCAGGUUUCUCAGACCGUUGCGCGCGCCCCGCUUCUGAAGCGGGAGGAGACACUUCCGAGCCAGCUGUGUGACAUCCGUUUCCACAGCCGCGCUGACGUUUUGAGGUGUAAGUUCAACAGCUGCCAUUGGCCGGGAGCCGCUGGGCUCUUCUCCUCACCUUCCACUCCAUCCUCGCCCCCAACUCGGAAACAGGCUUCAUCGGAACCGCAAACUGGGUUCCACCGGAAGGCCCUCUGGCAGGAGUGGCAGAUGCGCUGUCUUUGGGUGACAGCGCCCGUCAUCACGGGAGAGGCCAGUUGGUUGUGCGGUGCCACUGUGCUCCUCACUUGUUUUCAUACUUGUUGCAUACUACGGCCUUUCCACAACUAUUUCCAAAUGAAAAUAUAGCAAAAUACCUGUAUACGGCGGAGAGACCGUUUCUCAACCCAGUAUCUACACAGCUUUCAUCCCACGGCCUGCAUGUAAGAGGCUCUUACAGGGCCCCAGAGCUCCAUUGAUAAAUAAAUUUCAGAAGCAUUGCAAAUCAUUGCCCUAGAGACCUGGGUGCAACUCUUAGAAGGGUCCGAGAAGAUAGGAGAGGUGAGAGGCAUUGGGAAAUACAACAGCAUAGAAAGGAAGACAUCUCAAUGAUCUACUUGCUGCAUCAAGAAAAGGAAAAAAUGGAAUGGCAGCUUUAAUACUGUGAACAAAGUUUCAGAAAUGAAAAGCUUAUAUUUCCAUGGAUGCAAGCUAAAGAAAUUUUGAUAGUUACAACAAAUUCACAAACUGUGACAUCUGGAAACCUGCAAAGUGAUAAUAAUGAAUCCAGUGGGUUCAAUAUCUUGAGGUAUCUACUCAGCAGAGGUUCUGAGAGGCUCUGACAGUCCAUGAGAAAGUGACCACACACCACUUCAAUGACCUCUGAAACUGUAGUAAGUCUAGAAGAUUGUAUUCUUUCCUUAGAGGAAAAAAAAUUUCUCCAUUGUAAAUUUUUUGAAUAUAGGAAAUAAAAUGGCAAGAAGAAGCAA